CAACACCUCAAAGCUCGCUUUGGUUAUGGGACGGGUCGGCCCCUCUCGUGGGGGCAUGCCCUCCUUAACGUUGCCCGACGAUAGCGAACCAGCAGCCUGGCAGUAGACGUAGUAAAUCUUUCUCGUUUGCCUGCUGAGGAGGCCGGUCGCCAACGAAAACCCCAAAACCU
Molecule: unclassified non-coding RNA, 170 nt
Filed under: uncultured Orbiliales
Lineage: Eukaryota; Fungi; Ascomycota; Orbiliomycetes; Orbiliales
Description: sequence contains ITS2
Source: RNAcentral